Molecule: long non-coding RNA, 526 nt
Filed under: Phoenix dactylifera (date palm)
Lineage: Eukaryota; Viridiplantae; Streptophyta; Magnoliopsida; Arecales; Arecaceae
Description: long non-coding RNA (PDAC_LNC021412)
Source: RNAcentral
UCUCUUGUGGGUUAUCCAUCUAUAAGUAUUGAAGUUUUUGCAAGAAACAUGAGAGUAGGUUUGGCAUCCUUAAAUUUUUGGGGUAAUUGAUGGGCGGUCCCGUGUUGGACCAGAACCUAAGGAAAAGUCCCUAUUGGCUGGUGGUUUAACUUCUAGUCCUUUACGAUUUUAGAUUUAUAUCUGGAGACAAAAUACCCUUUACUCCUCCUCGCUAGGUCAAUCAAUUCCCCCCUUUUUUUUUCGUGGGAUUCUCUCUCCUUCACGCCUAGGUUUUUUUUUUGGGCAUCCUCUCUCUCCCAAGCCCCUAUUCUCUCUCCACCGCCGGCCAUAGCCCGCCCCCUCCCGAGCCCAAGCCGAGAUUAUCCGUGGAGGAAGGGCAAAACCCCGUCGCCGACCGGCCACGACCAAUACGGAAAGGAGAUCCACCACGCCGUCGUCGACUGCGCCCCGAUCCGGCAGAGAGAUGUCUUUCCCGAGCACGACCUGCCCCUCGAGCGGAGAAGAGGUUCGUGGCAGGAUCCAGAGG